RNAcentral lists this transfer-messenger RNA (351 nucleotides) under Planctomycetota bacterium. It matches the Rfam family "transfer-messenger RNA". Rfam says of the family: Bacterial tmRNA, also known as 10Sa RNA or SsrA, is named for its dual tRNA and mRNA-like properties. Lineage: Bacteria; Pseudomonadati; Planctomycetota. The record is from RNAcentral.
GGGGCCGAAAUGGAUUCGACCGGACAGGAUACGCUUGUCGUUGCGCGUCGUGGAGCAUCCGUGCCACGUAAAAAGGAUGCACAUUAAUAAUUGCUGACACUCAGUUAGCACUCGCCGCUUAAUUGCGGUGACGAUCAUCAGCCCGACGCCCGAUGAGGCUGGUGAUCGAAGACAUCGGGCUGGUUCCAAAGGGCUGACAGGCCCCGGCGGAACGAGACAACCGUCUGUCAUGGCGAAGUGAAACGCCGUCGUUCGCGGUUCGCCGAGCCGAGAUCAAAUGAGCGACUACACGUGUAGACGCGGCCUGCUGACUGUUCCGGCACGGGGGUUCGAUUCCCCCCGGCUCCAUUG